RNAcentral lists this ribosomal RNA (914 nucleotides) under Amaurodera yaoana. RNAcentral's name for it is "bacterial SSU rRNA". It matches the Rfam family "Eukaryotic small subunit ribosomal RNA", at positions 444 to 1291 of the family's 1831-position model. The record is from RNAcentral. Lineage: Eukaryota; Metazoa; Arthropoda; Insecta; Coleoptera; Staphylinidae.
CCCACUCCCGGCACGGGGAGGUAGUGACGAAAAAUAACGAUACGGGACUCAUCCGAGGCCCCGUAAUCGGAAUGAGUACACUCUAAACACGUUUCCGAAAGACAAUUGGAGGGUAAGUCUGGUGCCAGCAACCGCGGUAAGACCAGCUCCAAUAGCGUAUAUUAAAGUUGUUGCGGUUAAAAAGCUCGUAGUCGAAUCUGUGUCCCGCGCCGCUGGUUCAUCGCUCGCGGUGUUCAACUGGCGUGUCUCGCGGGACGUCCUGCCGGUGGGAUUUGCGCCGCUUCGGCGGUUCAGUCCCUACUCGUCUCCGUGUCCUACGGUUUCGGAUCCCAUCGCGGUGCUCUUUAUUGAGUGUCGAGGUGGGCCGGCACAUUUACUUUGAACAAAUUAAAGUGCUUAAAGCAGGCCAGUUUUGCCUGAAUAUUCGUGCAUGGAAUAAUAGAAGAGGACCUCGGUUCUAUUUUGUUGGUUUACGGACCCCGAGGUAAUGAUUAAUAGGAACGGAUGGGGGCAUUCGUAUUGCGACGUUAGAGGUGAAAUUCUUGGAUCGUCGCAAGACGGACAUAAGCGAAAGCAUUUGCCAAAAACGUUUUCAUUGAUCAAGAACGAAAGUUAGAGGCUCGAAGGCGAUCAGAUACCGCCCUAGUUCUAACCAUAAACGAUGCCAGCUAGCGAUCCGCCGACGUUCCUCCGAUGACUCGGCGGGCAGCUUCCGGGAAACCAAAGCUUUUGGGUUCCGGGGGAAGUAUGGUUGCAAAGCUGAAACUUAAAGGAAUUGACGGAAGGGCACCACCAGGAGUGGAGCCUGCGGCUCAAUUUGACUCAACACGGGGAAACUGACCAGGCCCGGACACCGGAAGGAUUGACAGAUUGAGAGCUCUUUCUUGAUUCGGUGGGUGGUGGUGCAUGGCCGU